RNAcentral lists this ribosomal RNA (763 nucleotides) under Salmonella bongori. RNAcentral's name for it is "partial 23S ribosomal RNA". It matches the Rfam family "Bacterial large subunit ribosomal RNA", at positions 2180 to 2925 of the family's 2925-position model. Lineage: Bacteria; Pseudomonadati; Pseudomonadota; Gammaproteobacteria; Enterobacterales; Enterobacteriaceae. The record is from RNAcentral.
GUGGAGCCGUCCUUGAAAUACCACCCUUUAAUGGCUGGUGUUCUAACGUGGGCCCCUGACCGGGGUUGCAGACAGUGUCUGGUGGGUAGUUUGACUGGGGCGGUCUCCUCCCAAAGAGUAACGGAGGAGCACGAAGGUUGGCUAAUCCUGGUCGGACAUCAGGAGGUUAGUGCAAUGGCAUAAGCCAGCUUGACUGCGAGCGUGACGGCGCGAGCAGGUGCGAAAGCAGGUCAUAGUGAUCCGGUGGUUCUGAAUGGAAGGGCCAUCGCUCAACGGAUAAAAGGUACUCCGGGGAUAACAGGCUGAUACCGCCCAAGAGUUCAUAUCGACGGCGGUGUUUGGCACCUCGAUGUCGGCUCAUCACAUCCUGGGGCUGAAGUAGGUCCCAAGGGUAUGGCUGUUCGCCAUUUAAAGUGGUACGCGAGCUGGGUUUAGAACGUCGUGAGACAGUUCGGUCCCUAUCUGCCGUGGGCGCUGGAAGAUUGAGGGGGGCUGCUCCUAGUACGAGAGGACCGGAGUGGACGCAUCACUGGUGUUCGGGUUGUCAUGCCAAUGGCACUGCCCGGUAGCUAAAUGCGGAAGAGAUAAGUGCUGAAAGCAUCUAAGCACGAAACUUGCCCCGAGAUGAAUCUUCCCUGAGACUUUAAGUCUCCUGAAGGAACGUUGAAGACGACGACGUUGAUAGGCCGGGUGUGUAAGCGCAGCGAUGCGUUGAGCUAACCGGUACUAAUGAACCGUGAGGCUUAACCUUACAACGCCGAAG